Molecule: transfer RNA, 83 nt
Filed under: Ictidomys tridecemlineatus (thirteen-lined ground squirrel)
Lineage: Eukaryota; Metazoa; Chordata; Mammalia; Rodentia; Sciuridae
Description: Spermophilus tridecemlineatus (thirteen-lined ground squirrel) tRNA
Rfam family: tRNA
About the family: Transfer RNA (tRNA) molecules are approximately 80 nucleotides in length. Their secondary structure includes four short double-helical elements and three loops (D, anti-codon, and T loops). Further hydrogen bonds mediate the characteristic L-shaped molecular structure. tRNAs have two regions of fundamental functional importance: the anti-codon, which is responsible for specific mRNA codon recognition, and the 3' end, to which the tRNAs corresponding amino acid is attached (by aminoacyl-tRNA synthetases). tRNAs cope with the degeneracy of the genetic code in two manners: having more than one tRNA (with a specific anti-codon) for a particular amino acid; and 'wobble' base-pairing, i.e. permitting non-standard base-pairing at the 3rd anti-codon position.
Source: Rfam by way of RNAcentral
UGUGGUGUAGCUCAGUGGUAGAGGACUUGCCUGGCAUGUAACAGGCCCUGGGUUCAAUCUGGGUUCAAUCCCCAGCUCCACAG